Molecule: long non-coding RNA, 350 nt
Filed under: Homo sapiens (human)
Lineage: Eukaryota; Metazoa; Chordata; Mammalia; Primates; Hominidae
Description: HSALNT0245314
Source: RNAcentral
CAACUUCCAAGAGAAGGGUGGUGGAUGGCUCACAAACCAGCAAUGGUCAAGGGCCAUUUCCUUCUCUGGUCCUGGACUAAGAGGCUGCAAAGGGUAGCGGUUUCUAGGAAGCUGUUGGUUCAACCACUGGGUAAGCCAACAGUGAAGACCAAGAAGGAAAAGCCAGGAACUGUAGGAGUGGAGAAAAAAAUAAACAAGGGAAACCGUCCAGAGCAAACGAGGUAAAAAUGGACAAAGGAGAGUGGCGAAAGGGAUGUUCGGGUGCCAAAGAACAGCAGUGCCACCUCCUGUUAAUUUGCUGCUUACCGAAGAGACAAGAUCAGAAACUUGAAGUUAGAGACGAAAAAAUA